RNAcentral lists this ribosomal RNA (846 nucleotides) under Pristimantis balionotus. Its description in RNAcentral is "partial large subunit ribosomal RNA". It matches the Rfam family "Bacterial large subunit ribosomal RNA", at positions 1236 to 2598 of the family's 2925-position model. Lineage: Eukaryota; Metazoa; Chordata; Amphibia; Anura; Strabomantidae. The record is from RNAcentral.
CAAUUUUAAAUCCACUAUUGACCCCUUUAACUUUACUGAGAAUUUCUAUAUCAUAUAGAACAUUUUAUGCUAAAACUAGUAACAAGAGGGAAACCCUCUCCCAAUGCAAACACAAGCCAGCAAGAACCCGUCACUGGCAAUUAACAGACCUAGACAAAAGUAGCAACAUCUCUAGAAAACCCUACUUCUCACAACUGUUAACCUAACACCAGAGCAUUUCAGGAAAGAUUAAAAGAAAAAGAAGGAACUCGGCAAACACUAAUCCCGCCUGUUUACCAAAAACAUCGCCUCUUGUCCCCAUAAGAGGUCAAGCCUGCCCAGUGACUUUGUUCAACGGCCGCGGUAUCCUAACCGUGCGAAGGUAGCGUAAUCACUUGUUUUCUAAAUAAAGACCAGUAUGAAAGGCAUCACGAGGAUUAAACUGUCUCCUUUUUCCAAUCAGUGAACCUAAUCUCCCCGUGAAGAAGCGGGGAUUAUUCUAUAAGACGAGAAGACCCUAUGAAGCUUAAAACAUUAUAACAUCUGCCACAAAACUUCAACCACUCAGGUAUUUACCCAAGUAGCACUUUGAUUUUAUGUUUUCGGUUGGGGUGACCGCGGAGAAAAACUAAUCCUCCACGAUGAAGGGGAUCCCCCUAAACAAUGAGCUACAUCUUUAUGUAUCAAUAAAUUGACAUCCAUUGACCCAAUAACUUGAUUAACGAACCAAGUUACCCUAGGGAUAACAGCGCAAUCCACUUUAAGAGCCCCUAUCGACAAGUGGGCUUACGACCUCGAUGUUGGAUCGGGGUACCCCAGUGGUGUAGCCGCUACUAAAGGUUCGUUUGUUCAACGAUUAAAACCCUA